RNAcentral lists this unclassified non-coding RNA (378 nucleotides) under uncultured bacterium. RNAcentral's name for it is "contains 16S-23S intergenic spacer region". The record is from RNAcentral.
UCGCGGCUUAUCACCGGCAGUCCCCUUAGAGUGCCCAACUGAAUGAUGACAACUAAGAGCGAGGGUUGCGCUCGUUGCGGGACUUAACCAAACAUCUCACGACACGAGCUGACGACGGCCAUGCAACACCUGUCACCCUGCUCAAUAAAGCACUCUCGCCUUUCGGCAAAAUUCAAGGGAUGUCAAGCCCUGGUAAGGUUCUUCGUUUAUCAUCGAAUUAAAGAACACGAUCCACCGCUUGUGCGGGUCCCCGUCAAUUCCUUUAUGUUUUAGUCUUGCGACCGUACUCCACCGGCGGGAUACUUAACGCGUUAGCUUCGCUACUGAAGGGGUCGAUACCUCCAACAGCUAGUAUCCAUCGUUUACGGCGUGGACUAC